CUGAGGCUGCCAAGGGAAACAAACUGGCAGGAGAAAGGGGAACAAACUGGCUUGGGAAGCAACAGGAGAAUGGGGAGAAGUAACUCAGUGAUUGAAACAAGGACACUCUGGGAAAGCUUUGUAGGUGACUGCCAAUUGUCCAAAAGCAGAGUGGACAACUCCUUCCUUGCUGCUGACUGCAAUUGCAGGAAGAAAAGGUGUCUGUAAAUACUCUCUGUACUUUCACAGCACUUGUACAUGCGGAAAUCCUUGUCUGCUCCAGAAGUCUUAAACAGUUUUGGCACCUUUGCCACCAAAGGUAAAUAAUCCCAAGAAAGACACUUGUUUCUCUAAUGUGAUCCUGUUCAGUCUCCUCAAGGAUGUAGCACAAUGCUCGACCCUCAAGGCCAAAGCCAAGCAAUAAAGUGAACUUUAACCUUUGAAGAACAGGCAUGUGUGAAAAGAAAAAGCUGUGGAAACGUUUCUUGAAGACACUGGUAUCAUGCCUAAGGUGGUCCAUGCACUUUCACCCAAGAACUCCUGUUGGAAACCAGCAGCUCUAGCAGAGGAAUGUCUCUCCUUAAUGCCAGCAGCUUUGUGUGGUGACAGGUGCUGAGAAGAAGAUCUGAACAUCUAAAUCAUACAGGACCCUGUUUCUUCCCAGGAAACUAUGUUCAGCAGAACAGAAUAACAUAUUUGGCCAGACCUGAAGGGAUUUUUAUGAGUUCCAUGUGAGAUGCUGAAGCCUUAACUUAAUUGGCCUUACAUUCCUCAGGAAGAUAUACACCCUGUAUCCACAUCCACUCAGUCUGCUCUCCUUUUCAACCUUGUUACCAUAACUAUUGAUUUCUCUUGCUUUAGUCCAGCCUGAUGCUCAUGUAAAUCAAGUCGGUUGCUACAAUCUGGGCUGCGUCAGGAAUGCAAAAUUCACAGCCUUUCUUGCUUUCCUCCUUUUCCUCCUACUGCCAGUGAUGUUUUAAUUUUGACAUUCUGCAUGCAGAUCAGAAAUGUACCCAAAGCUAUUUCGUGUCCCACAAAUUUCUUGUCUGUGGAACUUAAGAAAGUGGCUUUUUAUAACAUCAGUAUCAUGCAUAUCCUGCAUGGCAAGCCCUGUGGAGUACUAAAACUCAAAUUUUUUAGUGCAGAGAGAAAAAAAAAAAAUGUUUUGGGGAGAGGAAUAUCCUCCAUUGGUCUGAUGAUUAAUUUUCACCGGAAAAAAAAUGCUACCGCAACCAUUAGCAAAUCUCCUGGUGGAAUGGAUCCUGUCAAAACACAUCCUAGCACUGUUAGCCCUCGGCACCUGAGCAGUUUGCACUUAAAUCCCUGCUGGGCCCUGCGGCAGUGGUUCCCGUUGUGCUCCUGCUGCAUCCCUGGUACUGGGAUGCACGGAGCGGAGCGCGAACCGAGGCCCUGGAGGCCUGUGGGAUGGGCGAGGGCACGGCUGCUGCCCCCGUGUUUCUUCCCCCAGCCCUCCCGAUGCUGCUCUGCUAGUGUGUUAGCGUUUGCAGGAACCACCACGGCUCCAAGCUCGAUGAAGGAGGGGAUGAGCAGAGGGGCGGGAACACGGGGAGGGUCGCUGCUGGUGGCUCCUACCGUGAUGCAUCCUGGAUUGGUUUGGACAAACUCUGGCCAGACUUGGAGGGCCCGGCAGGGUGAGAUGGAGGAUGUGGGUCCAGGCACUCACAGGUCUGGACUGCAAGCUGUCCCUUUCCUCACCUGUCUCUGGUGAGCACAAUGCAGUCACUCCACGAUGUUCUCACCUAAACCCUUACUCUUAUGCCAGAGGGCAAAGGCAGUGCUGUCACAGGCCUGGGGAAAGGUGAGGGAGGGGCUGUCCAGCAGCCAUGAGCAGUGGGUGCCAUCUCUGCAUGUGGGGGGACUGAACACCCUGUGUAUUGCAGGAGUGGCCAGGGGUUAUCAGCUGUAGCUGAGGGACGAGGCAGAGUGCUGCACGCAAGACAAGUGCGUUCCUCUUCUCAUCCUCCCCCAGCCAGCAGUCAUGGCAUGUGGGCUAUCAUCAAAAUGCCUCCUCUGUGACACUGAAAAAAAGCCAAUGCCCAGUGUAAAAGGGAGGUUUAUUGGUGGAAAGAUAUACCUGAUUAUGCUACAGAGCUGGAGAGAUGCGCUGUGAAAGGAAACAGAUUCAGACACUAGCUCAAUCAACAUCAUGGAGUCCCACUGUGAUGCAAUGGCUUUUUCCAGGACUUCAUGACAGAAGAAAAUAGGAUUCUUGACCACUUGUUCAACAUUUAUGAUGCUCCUGCAGGUGAAAAUCCAAAAGAAAAUAACCUCAGUGACAACCAAGAGUUGCAGGUUAUAAAACACAGACAUUUUUUUCAAGAUACAGGGUAGUCAAUUCUUUCUGUGUGAAACAGACAAAAGCUGGACCAAGGUCUUGCAGCAAGCUGUGCCUGGACUCCUGAGAAACUGCUCAUGAGACAGCAGCCAGCAGAACUGCUGUGCUGAGCAGGAUGCAGACCUGACCUCCUCUACAGCCCAGCAGCAUCAUCCUCUGACUAGUGAAUACAUUGCCUGCAUGAUUCAUGCCACCUGGUGUUCUCCUCAGAUAAAUGUAUUUACUGUCCCAGAAAAUGUUUCUGUUAGUCCAUGUGGAAAACUUUGCUUGGGUCUGGGAAGCAUAGGCUACAGAGGGAAGACUUUUGAGGAUGGCCAUAGGUAAAUGGUUCUUUGGUACAUAUCUGUGCUUUUGGGGAAGCUUUGAAGGUAUUUCCCGGUCUUUCCAUUAUUCUGCACUUUGGCUUUCAUUCUAGAUGCUAAGCUCUUCCCAUGAACAGCAGCGUGGUCCCCACUUAGAUUCCACUGGUUCAUGGGACAGGACCUGGCCACUGUCUCUGCUUUCUGAGAAGCCUUAAGGAGACUUCAUUUAUUUGAGAAUGGUUCCUGUUCUACUCAUUCUGCUGUUGCUGCUUUAUAGUUCACUUUCUUAUCUGCCUGUUGGGUUAUUUUCUGGCUUUCACUUACCUUUUUGAAUCCACAGUCCGUUUCUGCAACAACCUCUUUGCAAGGUGAUGAGUAUUGAGCAACAGCAUACUCUCCUGGAGGAGAAGAAUAGAAACAUUCUUGUUACCCUGGAGAACCCUUCUUGUGCCUUUUCCUGGACAUAACCUAUGCAUGCUUAAACUGGAGAUCCUUGAAAUAUCCUUUAUUCUGGUGCAUGUAUUUUCAUAACUUUCUAGUCAUGCCUACUGAUCACCUUGGGCAUGAGACCAAGGUGAAUAAAGUGAAAUGAGUCUCUCCCCUGGCCCCAGAUUCAGGUGCUGAUGGAGUCCAGAGGAGUGCUGUUUGCAGCAGGGCUGGUUCUGGCUGUCCCUUAAGGCACACUGUUUCUGCUGUGCCUGUCCCCACUCUUCACGCUGGUUAAAAUCAAAGCCAUACCUGUUUCAUAGUAGUCAUAGAUCUGCACAGGUGCUGGCUUGGGGUGGGUCACUACAAAGUCCUGCUCAACCGAGAAAGUGAUUUCCUUCCUUUUCUUCUGUGAGAGCUGGGAUGGAAGGUCAGAGAUCACAUCAGUCUUUUUUUUGUACAGCACCAUCCAGAGCAGACAAGGGUGGUAACUGACAGGCUGCAUAUUCCAAAUCCCACUGAUGCCACACCCACAGAUAUGGGACAGCCAUUAUCCAAACACGCUUGGAGAGUCCAAAGUGAAACUGAACUGAAAAGUUAAUAGAUUUUUCUGUGCUGCUUGUA
Long non-coding RNA from Melospiza melodia melodia, 3687 nucleotides. RefSeq lists it as uncharacterized. The transcript is spliced from 4 exons. The record is from RefSeq and is a predicted model, not a curated record. Lineage: Eukaryota; Metazoa; Chordata; Aves; Passeriformes; Passerellidae.